This 28-nucleotide small RNA is filed under the name Bombyx mori (domestic silkworm). RNAcentral describes it as "ovarian small RNA-36623". Lineage: Eukaryota; Metazoa; Arthropoda; Insecta; Lepidoptera; Bombycidae. The record is from RNAcentral.
UUACUAGUAGUUUUACGAUGUUUCAAAA